CAGUAGCCAGCGGUAAUACGUAGGUGGCAAGCGUUGUCCGGAAUUAUUGGGCGUAAAGGGCUCGCAGGCGGUUUCUUAAGUCUGGUGUGAAAGCCCCCGGCUCAACCGGGGAGGGUCAUUGGAAACUGGGAAACUUGAGUGCAGAAGAGGAGAGUGGAAUUCCACGUGUAGCGGUGAAAUGCGUAGAGAUGUGGAGGAACACCAGUGGCGAAGGCGACUCUCUGGUCUGUAACUGACGCUGAGGAGCGAAAGCGUGGGGAGCGAACAGGAUUAGAUACCCCUGUAGUCCCUGUCUCUUAUU
Molecule: ribosomal RNA, 301 nt
Filed under: uncultured bacterium
Lineage: Bacteria
Description: partial 16S ribosomal RNA
Rfam family: Bacterial small subunit ribosomal RNA
Source: RNAcentral